ACAAUCCCGCUAACCCAAUAAACCUUAUAACACUCGUGAAAAUUUUCAUCGUUACGUACUGUCAAUCGACAUUCCGUGCCCGUUGACCAUCAGGUGCCGGCACUGCGUCCACGCACUUUCCGGCCCGGCGUUUCCACAACUCUUGCACAGCUCGGCAACCGCUUCAACGUGCUCGAUAACGACUCGUUCGCGAUGUUAAUCCUCGAUAUCGAGAGAAAUCAAUAAAAGAGGAAAAGAAAUUCGCGCAAAGCAACCUCACCGCAAUAUCACUUCGAAACGAAGCACUGCACAAUUCAAUUAUAUUUAUAACUCACUGAAAGCCACACUUUUGACCUAUGUAUGUUCACUCGAAUCACUUAUUCCACGAAUUUAACCCGAUCCUGUUCACAACGUCGUUAUUUAAUUACUCGAGCACGGAUCUUGAAUUUAAUUCGACGUUAUAAAUGUCGUGACUCGAGCUUUUUCAAGAAAAAAAGGAAAAAAAAAAGAAAAAAAAAGAAAAAUCACUAUUUAUUUUCGCCAAGCAAAUCGCUGUAACACCACUGUUACACCGUCAAUGUCACGUUAACGACUCGGCGACUCGAUGUAGCCAGCCAACGAUGAUUGUUUAAUAAGCUGAAAACGACACGCGAAUCCAGCCUCGGCAACUUAGCGACGUGAAACUCCCGUCAUACUUUUAUUUCGUGUGUGCGUCGCCGCGUACGAAUGAUGACUGGCCGUGCAAACCCAACUCCGCGGAUAUUACGCCAUGAAAUUGUGAAGCGGGCCAACGUGCGGCGGUCGCUUCACUUUUCCUUGGUCAAAUCUAUAUUUAGUGGUGAAUUCGAUCGACCAAGGAGAGGGGUGAUAAGUUCGGGGUUGGUGGCAACCCCUUUUUCCCGAAACGAGACCCUGCUAUCUUUCCCCCGCUGUGGCGUGUUUUUCCUCCGUGUUCGAGAAACGGUAUAAUAGAGUCGCUCGCGUGAGGAUCACACGAAUCGAUGGAAAUGCGGAGAGGAUUACCUAAUGUCGAUUAAUGACCCGAUGUCGCCUGUGCGCGGAAUUACGGGAUACGCGUUGCGCAAUCCGGCGCAACGUGUUUACAAACAGAGUUAUUGUUCGUAAGUGGAAGUAGGAUUCGGAUUGUUCGUCAAGAGAUACGAAGAAAUUUUUCGAAAUUAUCCUUGUUUUUCGUCCCUUUCGUUUCCACUUCGUUAUUUCCUCCCCCCCUCCCCUUUUUCGACGAGUUUUGAUUUGACACUCGAACGAAUGGAUUGGACGCGUGGGUGUGGUACGGCGGCCUUGGCAUUCUUCGAGCUAUCGUUUUCUCCUCCUUUGGUUUUAUUUUUUUGAAAUUUUGAAAUUUCGAUAUUGGGUUAAGAAUGAGUUACGUUUUACGUAUAAUAAUAUGGAUAGAGUGAAUGAGUUUUUUGUACGAAAGAUAACCGAAUUAUUAGGUAGAUAAAUAAUUAAAAACUUUUUACAAAGUUUCGCGAAAUGAAUUUUUGGUUAAGAAUUAUUGUGCAAAGAAACCAGUGGACGAUGAACACGUCAAUGUUCCUUAAAUUCGAAAGAAAUCUAUAUAAAAUAUUUUCUUUUUGAAAAUUUAACGAGCAUCGUGAAUAAAGUUUCAAUUUCGAAGACAACUCAAUUAUGAGAAAACGAGAAGAAACUCUAUUUAUAUCGUAGAAUUCAAUGGAAUCUGAAUUGAAAAAGGAAGACUGUUGAUUGAAAUAAUAAUUGUAGAUUAUAUCCUCGAUCCUAUUAUCGUAAUUAAAUAAUGCGAAAUCCCUCUUUUUCUCUUUCUCUCCCUCUUUUUUUUUCUUUUAAUUGGUUAAAAUAUUAAUCUGCGAUGCGAUCAAUUUCAAGUCUAUGAUAUUAUAAUCUUCGUUUCUUGAUAUUAAUUUUAUGACGCAACGUGUAUUCUGAUAAACGAUGCACAAUAAUUUACAAGGUCUAAUUACGUCAUGGGAUUAAUUUGGGUAUGAUGGAACACAGUGGAACACGUAAUGCAUGCUAAAUCGAUACACCUCGUAAUCCAUGAAGAAUCUAUCGCUAUCGAGAAACCUUACUCGUGUCCUUUCCUUUUCUUCCACGUCUAUUUCUAUUCUUUACUACUUCUCCUUUUCUAUUCGUCGUUUACUCGACGAACGUAUGACAAAAUUCGAAAUCAACUUCUCUUCGAAAUCAAGUGUUUCCCCUCGACGAGGGGAAGAGAACAUAAACGUGCGUAAGAUGAACGAACUUUCGACGAAUAAAUUCAAAAUUUACGGAUUACAAAUUAAAAUAAUUAAACGGUUUGGCGGCUGUAAAUAAGUAAAUUAACGUGUAAAAGUAAAAAUUGUGACGAGGAGUUAUUUAUAUAAUAAAUUGAAUUAUAUUUUCGAUGCGAAGAUAACCUGAAACAAAAAGUAUGAAAGAAUGGGGGAAGCGGAUAUUACCUUCCCAAGGGGAUGGUAAUAUGCAUAAGCAAGACACGAACAUAUAUACACACGCAUGCACAUGCGUUGAAAUCGCACUCAAGCGCACUGCAUGAUCCCUUCGUCGAUGAUUCCGCAAUUUAACGGGACGAUGGAUAAUUAAUUCUGUUUUGAAUCAAAGAAAAAAGGAAAAGAUAAAUUAUCUCGCGUUAAUUUGAUAAUGAAAAAAGAAAUGGCGAUAGAAAAAUAUGAAGCAAUUUAUCGAAUAAAUUUGGAAUGAUAUUUUAACAAGAAAUUACCUCGACUUCGAAAGAAACCCGUUCAAGAGAUAGUUUGAUGACACUGAUGGCAGUGUCUUCGGCAGUGCGACAUUACAAUAAAAUGCAUUUUCACUCACGAUUCGACGGAAUUCUGCAAUUUAUUCAGCUUUUCCUCGAGAGCAUGAGCUGGAGCCUCUGUGAAGGCAGCCAGAUAUGCUAGAACAGGUCCUGAUAAAGCUUUCACUUCUGCUGCCAUCGGUUUCAAUUUCUCCGCUUCCGUUACCAACUCCUAUACACAAAUAAAGAUUAAAAUUAAUAAAAUAAUACAUAUUGUGAAUUACAAAUAAAAUAAAAUACUUCACACGAUA
This is a long non-coding RNA of Apis cerana (Asiatic honeybee), 3027 nucleotides long. RefSeq lists it as uncharacterized. NCBI's taxonomy places the organism in Eukaryota, Metazoa, Arthropoda, Insecta, Hymenoptera, Apidae. The record is from RefSeq and is a predicted model, not a curated record.